Long non-coding RNA from Sphaeramia orbicularis (orbiculate cardinalfish), 393 nucleotides. RefSeq lists it as uncharacterized. NCBI's taxonomy places the organism in Eukaryota, Metazoa, Chordata, Actinopteri, Kurtiformes, Apogonidae. The transcript is spliced from 3 exons. The record is from RefSeq and is a predicted model, not a curated record.
CUGUGGAAGCUCAGGGUCACAGACCUGCUCAUCUGGAACAGCUGUGGACCUUACCUGCACAGAUCCUGAUGAUGUCAGACUGGUGGGAGGAGCCAGUCACUGUAACGGUAAAGUAGAGAUCAAACAUCAUGGAGCAUGGAGAUACUUGGGAUAUUAUAACUAUGACCCCUGGACCCUGAAGGCAGCAGAUGUCUUAUGUCAUCAACUGGACUGUGGAUGUGCUGUUUCUGGGAGAGAUUCUGGUCCAUCUAGUCCUGUGUGGUCCAUCAGCCACACCUGUCCUCUCUCUACAUCUGCACUGACGGACUGUGUGAGAACAUAUCCCUUUACUGCUGGCUCCACCCUAUUCCUCACCUGUUCAGACUCUGUCAGACUGGUCCAUGGGUUCCAGUC